This 253-nucleotide ribosomal RNA is filed under the name uncultured bacterium. RNAcentral's name for it is "partial 16S ribosomal RNA". It matches the Rfam family "Bacterial small subunit ribosomal RNA", at positions 524 to 776 of the family's 1533-position model. The record is from RNAcentral.
UACGUAGGGCGCAAGCGUUAUCCGGAUUCACUGGGUUUAAAGGGAGCGUAGGUGGGUUAGUAAGUCCGUGGUGAAAUCUCUGAGCUUAACUCGGAAACUGCCAUGGAUACUAUUAGUCUUGAAUAUUGUGGAGGUUAGCGGAGUAUGUCAUGUAGCGGUGAAAUGCUUAGAUAUGACAUAGAACACCCAUUGCGAAGGCAGCUUACUACGGAGACAUUGACACUGAGGCACGAAAGCGUGGGGAUCAAACAGG